ACAAACCGGAGGAAGGUGGGGAGUGACGUCAAGUCAUCAUGGCCUUACGGCCUGGGCUACACACGUGCUACAAUGGUCGGUACAAAGGGUUGCCAAGCCGCGAGGUGGAGCUAAUCCCACAAAACCGAUCGUAGUCCGGAUCGCAGUCUGCAACUCGACUGCGUGAAGUCGGAAUCGCUAGUAAUCGUGAAUCAGAAUGUCACGGUGAAUACGUUCCCGGGCCUU
RNAcentral lists this ribosomal RNA (225 nucleotides) under uncultured Pseudomonas sp. RNAcentral's name for it is "partial 16S ribosomal RNA". It matches the Rfam family "Bacterial small subunit ribosomal RNA", at positions 1158 to 1382 of the family's 1533-position model. Lineage: Bacteria; Pseudomonadati; Pseudomonadota; Gammaproteobacteria; Pseudomonadales; Pseudomonadaceae. The record is from RNAcentral.